RNAcentral lists this ribosomal RNA (423 nucleotides) under uncultured bacterium. RNAcentral describes it as "partial 16S ribosomal RNA". It matches the Rfam family "Bacterial small subunit ribosomal RNA", at positions 360 to 775 of the family's 1533-position model. The record is from RNAcentral.
AAUUUUGGACAAUGGGGGAAACCCUGAUCCAGCCAUCCCGCGUGUAUGAUGAAGGCCUUCGGGUUGUAAAGUACUUUUGGCAGAGAAGAAAAGGUACCUCCUAAUACGAGGUACUGCUGACGGUAUCUGCAGAAUAAGCACCGGCUAACUACGUGCCAGCAGCCGCGGUAAUACGUAGUGUGCAAGCGUUAAACGGAAUUACUGGGCGUAAAGCGGGGUGAAGCGGUUCGGAAAGAAAGAUGGGAAAACCCAGGGGUCAACCUUGGAACUGCAUUUUUAACUGCCGAGCUAGAGUAUGUCAGAGGGGGGUAGAAUUCCACGUGUAGCAGUGAAAUGCGUAGAUAUGUGGAGGAAUACCAAUGGCGAAGGCAGCCCCCUGGGAUAAUACUGACGCUCAGACACGAAAGCGUGGGGAGCAAACAG